UGAGGAAUAUUGGUCAAUGGACGGAAGUCUGAACCAGCCAAGUAGCGUGCAGGAUGACGGCCCUAUGGGUUGUAAACUGCUUUUGUAUGGGGAUAAAGUUAGGGACGUGUCCCUAUUUGCAGGUACCAUACGAGUAAGGACCGGCUAAUUCCGUGCCAGCAGCCGCGGUAAUACGGAAGGUUCGGGCGUUAUCCGGAUUUAUUGGGUUUAAAGGGAGCGUAGGCCGUUUGGUAAGCGUGUUGUGAAAUGUAGGAGCUCAACUUCUAGAUUGCAGCGCGAACUGUCAGACUUGAGUGCGCACAACGUAGGCGGAAUUCAUGGUGUAGCGGUGAAAUGCUUAGAUAUCAUGAAGAACUCCGAUUGCGAAGGCAGCUUACGGGAGCGCAACUGACGCUGAAGCUCGAAGGUGCGGGUAUCGAACAGG
Molecule: ribosomal RNA, 424 nt
Filed under: Verrucomicrobiota bacterium
Lineage: Bacteria; Pseudomonadati; Verrucomicrobiota
Description: Verrucomicrobia bacterium partial 16S ribosomal RNA
Rfam family: Bacterial small subunit ribosomal RNA
Source: RNAcentral